RNAcentral lists this ribosomal RNA (847 nucleotides) under Hexanchus griseus. Its description in RNAcentral is "partial 16S ribosomal RNA". The stretch from base 183 to 847 matches the Rfam family "Bacterial large subunit ribosomal RNA", at positions 568 to 1667 of the family's 2925-position model. The record is from RNAcentral. Lineage: Eukaryota; Metazoa; Chordata; Chondrichthyes; Hexanchiformes; Hexanchidae.
ACCUCAAAACUAGCCUAACCAAUUAUUAAACAUAACCCCAUUAAUUAAAUUCACACUCUUCCAAAAAUUAAAACAUUUUACAACUUUUAGUAUGGGUGACAGAACAAAGACUAAGCGCAAUAGAUUUGAGUACCGCAAGGGAAAGUUGAAAAAGAAAUGAAAUAAAUAAUUAAAGUACAAAAAAGCAGAGAUUAAACCUCGUACCUUUUGCAUCAUGAUUUAGCUAGACCAACUAGGCAAAGAGACCUUAAGCCUAUCAUCCCGAAACUAGACGAGCUACUCCGGAGCAGCAUGAAAGAGCAAACCCAUCUCUGUGGCAAAAGAGUGGGAAGACUCCCGAGUAGCGGUGACAAACCUAUCGAGCCUAGUGAUAGCUGGUUACCCAAAAAAAGAACUUCAAUUCUGCAUUAACUUUUUUAAUGUCAACUAAGAACAUCUCCAAAAGACUGAACAUAAAAAUUAAUAGUUAUUCAAAAAAGGUACAACUUUUUUGAAUCAAGAUACAACUUUUCAAGGUGGGUAAUGAUCAUAUUUACCAAGGACCAUUCCAUCAGUGGGCCUAAAAGCAGCCAUCUGUAAAGCAAGCGUCAUAGCUCCAGCCCAUAAUGAAACCUAUAAUUUAGAUAUUAUUUCCAAACCCCCUUAACCAAUAUUGGGUUAUUUUAUAAGAUUAUAAAAGAACUUAUGCUAAAAUGAGUAAUAAGAGGCUAAACCUCUCCCAACACCAGUGUAUAUCAGAAAGAAUUAAAUCACUGAUAAUUAAACGACCUCAAACUGAGAAAAUUAUAGAAAUUUAUUAUUAACUAGAAAAACCUAUUUAAUUACUCGUUAAUCCUACACAGGAGUG